GAUGGAGUAGCUUGCUACAAAGUUGGAAAGCGGCGAACGGGCGAGUAACACGUUGGUAUCUGCCCCUUGGUCAGGGAUAGCCAGUCGAAAGACUGAUUAAUACCGGAUAGUCUCUUCGGAGUAAAGAUUUAUUGCCAAGGGAGGAACCUGCGUCCUAUCAGCUAGUUGGUGAGGUAAAAGCUCACCAAGGCAAUGACGGGUAGCUGAUCUGAGAGGAUGAUCAGCCGCAAUGGAACUGAGACACGGUCCAUACUCCUACGGGAGGCAGCAGUGAGGAAUCUUCCACAAUGGGCGCAAGCCUGAUGGAGCGACACCGCGUGAAGGAUGAAGGUCCAACGAUUGUAAACUUCUUUUCUGGGGGAGCAUAAUGAGAGUACCUCAGGAAUAAGGGACGGCUAAAUACGUGCCAGCAGCCGCGGUAAUACGUAUGUCUCGAGCGUUAUCCGGAAUUACUGGGUGUAAAGAGUUCGUAGGCGGCGAAUUAAGUUAGGUAUGAAAGACCGGAGCUCAACUCCGUGUUUGUGCUUAAAACUGGUUUGCUAGAAUUAGGGAGAGGUAAGCGGAAUUCUAAGUGUAGGGGUGCAAUCCGUAGAUACUUAGAGGAACACCAAAAGCGAAGGCAGCUUACUGGAACUAUAUUGACGCUGAGGAACGAAAGCGUGGGGAGCGAAAAGGAUUAGAUACCCUUGUAGUCCACGCCCUAAACGAUGAUAACUUGGUGUUGGGAGCAAUCUCAGUGCCGAAGCUAACGCGAUAAGUUAUCCACCCUGAGGAGUACGGUCGCAAGAUUAAAACUCAAAGGAAUAGACGGGGACCCACACAAGCAGUGGAUCACGUGGUUUAAUUCGACAAUAAACGGGGAACCUUACCCAGACUUGACAUCUA
This 885-nucleotide ribosomal RNA is filed under the name uncultured bacterium. RNAcentral describes it as "bacterial SSU rRNA". It matches the Rfam family "Bacterial small subunit ribosomal RNA", at positions 68 to 990 of the family's 1533-position model. The record is from RNAcentral.